CAAAAAUAUGAUAUUCAGUACAUUGUGUUCAACAAGGACGGAUAAUUAUAUAAUUUGCAUCCAAUCACUAGUCCAAAAAAUCCAAAAGGUAUAUACAUGAAAACACUAAUUCAUUAAGCUCCUCAACUUACGAGAUUCUUAAAAGUGCAUCGAUGUGCUUAUACCACCUAGAUGCAUUCACAUAUUCAGCUGAUGGGGAUUUUGCUAGAUAUGAAUACACAGUGAUAUCAUCCUUCGAGGCUUGGUACCCGGAGAUGUAACUGCAGGUCAAGAGGUACUCAUAGAGGAUUUUGCUAGAUAUGAAUACACAGUGAUAUCAUCCUUCGAGGCUUGGUACCUGAGACAUGGAUUAAACAAAAAACAUCAGCAUUCGACAUAAAACACCAUCAAAAAGGACAUCUCAGCAGUUAAUGUCACACGAGUAACUCACCCGGAGAUGUAACUACGAGUCAGGAGGUACUCAUCAAGCUUCUUGAGACCAGAAUCAGAGUUAAGGUUGUUGAAUGCAACAGCCAUUGCUUGAUAAUAAUACAAGUCUUU
Molecule: long non-coding RNA, 540 nt
Filed under: Nicotiana benthamiana
Lineage: Eukaryota; Viridiplantae; Streptophyta; Magnoliopsida; Solanales; Solanaceae
Description: long non-coding RNA (NBEN_LNC012287)
Source: RNAcentral